CUCACCUCCUGGUUGGAACCAGAUUGAGAGGGCUGGGACCCAGAUCGGCUAGAUCAAGACAUAUUACAAGAAUAACCUGGAGAGAAGAAAUAGUCAUUGUAGCAUGGGAUGUUUGAGUUCUGGAUUCCUCGUUUCUCAACAGAAGCCAGAAGCAAGGAUGAGAAGCACAAACAGAUGGAAUCUGAGGGAACCCCUCUGAGGAUUCAGCUACUACAUCAAGGACAUUGAUGAGCCUUCCUCCAAAGCCAGCUAUGGCAGGACUAGGCACCAGCAAGCUCACAAGAGCUUGGCACCUUCAACCACUGUUUCAGCAGCCUUUUUAAACUGCUCCUCCACCACUCCAUCUGCUCUGGAGAAUACUCACAUACCUGCAUUUGGUUUGGAUAACAUUUCUAUUACAACUAGCAGUGUUGCUUGCCACCUCUUCAACUAUAACAGUGAGCAGCCCCUGCCCCACUUAGAGAAUUUCUUCACCCAGAAGUCAGCUGUGGAAGCGAACCUAUGGAUUGAUUGUCCUGGUGUUGGGAGGCAAAAGGACUGGUCACCUAGGGAGGACUGUGCUAUCUGCUUCUGUCCAAGGUUAUUUAGAUUUCUUCCUUGGCUUCCAACACUACUAGAGCUCUUCCAGGAGGAGGAGAAGUGACCAGCUUGGUCAUGAGCACUGAGGAAGGAUUGAAGAGGCCCACACACAGCCAGACAGAUACUCGAGGAUUUGAAGACACAAAACCCUUGUUUCUAGGUAUCCUAAGGGACCAAGAGGGAGCUGGACAAUCAGUGAGUUCCUGUGCCAACUCUGAAAGGCCAGGAUUUCCAGUCCCCUAAACCUGCCCUCCUCUCCUGGAUGCAACAAGAAACAGAGGUGUGGCACCUAGAAGCCCAGGAUUCUGAGGAGAAAAGGAAUUGUCCAAGAACCUGCAGAGGCAAGGAAAGAGUAUUACAUUUGAACUCCUAGGUUUAGUUCUUUGGAGAGAUCUUCUGAGCCAGACCUCAGUGGAAGAUUUUUUUUUUUUGCCUUCUUACCCUUUAAGGAUCUGAUCUUUUAAGCUACCGUUGGAUCAUCUCCCCAGAAAAGGUUCUCUCCCCAAGAUUACAGGCCUCCUCUGUGGCUUCUAUUGAAGCCACCUCCCUGCAGAUGUAAGAGAUGAUGUAGUGCUUAGCUGUCUCUCCUACACCCUUAGAUUUCUACAUAAGUUGCCUUUGCGAUUCUUUAUUCACUUGCCUCAGACUGGGAUCUUGGGAAUCUUCCUCUGGAGGCUAUUUCUACCAGACAUUAACCUCUUUUUCUCUACAAGUACUGUUGUGAAUCUUUGCUACCAUGAUUCCUUUGUUUGUUGCUCCAGAAAUUGCUGAUGCUUCAUUUUUUGACUUGCUUCUCCUGAUAGCUCUCCUAGCAAAUUCUGCAGCUCCCCAGGGCCAAACUAAGUGUCAAAGCUAAAUUUAAAAUACACACACAUAGACAUCCUGAAGCUAAUAAACAAAGGAUACUUUUA
This is a long non-coding RNA of Phascolarctos cinereus (koala), 1490 nucleotides long. RefSeq lists it as uncharacterized. Lineage: Eukaryota; Metazoa; Chordata; Mammalia; Diprotodontia; Phascolarctidae. The record is from RefSeq and is a predicted model, not a curated record.